This 497-nucleotide ribosomal RNA is filed under the name uncultured bacterium. Its description in RNAcentral is "partial 16S ribosomal RNA". It matches the Rfam family "Bacterial small subunit ribosomal RNA", at positions 28 to 507 of the family's 1533-position model. The record is from RNAcentral.
GAUGAACGCUGGCGGUGUGCCUAAUACAUGCAAGUCGAGCGAACAGACGAGGAGCUUACUCCUCUGACGUUAGCGGCGGACGGGUGAGUAACACGUGGAUAACCUACCUAUAAGACUGGGAUAACUUCGGGAAACCGGAGCUAAUACCGGAUAACAUGUUGAACCGCAUGGUUCAACAGUGAAAGACGGUCUUGCUGUCACUUAUAGAUGGAUCCGCGUCGCAUUAGCUAGUUGGUAAGGUAACGGCUUACCAAGGCAACGAUGCGUAGCCGACCUGAGAGGGUGAUCGGCCACACUGGAACUGAGACACGGUCCAGACUCCUACGGGAGGCAGCAGUAGGGAAUCUUCCGCAAUGGGCGAAAGCCUGGCGAAGCAACGCCGCGUGAGUGAAGAAGGUCUUCGGAUCGUAAAACUCUGUUAUUAGGGAAGAACAAAUGUGUAAGUAACUAUGCACGUCUUGACGGUACCUAAUCAGAAAGCCACGGCUAACUACGUG